GACGAACGCUGGCGGCGUGCUUAACACAUGCAAGUCGAACGGAAAGGCCCUGCUUGCAGGGUCCUCGAGUGGCGAACGGGUGAGUAACACGUGGGUGAUCUGCCCUGCACUUCGGGAUAAGCCUGGGAAACUGGGUCUAAUACCUGAUAGGAGCCAUUUUUAGUGUGAUGGUUGGAAAGUUUUUUCGGUGUAGGAUGAGCUCGCGGCCUAUCAGCUUGUUGGUGGGGUAAUGGCCUACCAAGGCGGCGACGGGUAGCCGGCCUGAGAGGGUGGACGGCCACAUUGGGACUGAGAUACGGCCCAGACUCCUACGGGAGGCAGCAGUGGGGAAUAUUGCACAAUGGGCGCAAGCCUGAUGCAGCGACGCCGCGUGGGGGAUGACGGCCUUCGGGUUGUAAACUCCUUUCGCUAGGGACGAAGCUUUUUGUGACGGUACCUAGAGAAGAAGCACCGGCUAACUACGUG
This 465-nucleotide ribosomal RNA is filed under the name uncultured bacterium. RNAcentral describes it as "partial 16S ribosomal RNA". It matches the Rfam family "Bacterial small subunit ribosomal RNA", at positions 28 to 507 of the family's 1533-position model. The record is from RNAcentral.